This 677-nucleotide long non-coding RNA is filed under the name Vigna radiata. RNAcentral's name for it is "long non-coding RNA (VRAD_LNC016074)". The record is from RNAcentral. Lineage: Eukaryota; Viridiplantae; Streptophyta; Magnoliopsida; Fabales; Fabaceae.
CACAGAGUAGCAUAUAUACAGUGUUUUCAUUAUCACCAACGUCUCAAGCAACAAACAAAUGAUAUACAAACUCAUAAAUAACAACCCAUACUAUAGGAAACUCAAGCUAACUCCUCCUACCUCAAAAGUUACAAGCUUUACUUUUUUCUUCUCACGUUACAGUGCAAAAGUCUCCCUCUUCAAGCUUUCCCUUCCUCUCUAAUGGCUUCCCGUGAUGCACACACAACUUUCUCAUCGUUCUGUCUUUUCUGUCGUUCCCUUCCUGUUAUCUCCGUAUAUCUCCCCUCCUUCUCUGUCCCAAAAUCCUAAAUUAUUUGAACUCCAAAAUAACUGUCCCCUCCUUUUCGGUCCUCACUCCCUUUUUUUAUUCAUUCUGAAACCCUAAUAUUAUAUUUUAUUUUGAUGGGCUGGGUUGUUCUUUACCUAAAAUACGUGUGCCCCAAACCUAAAAAAAUUGCAUCAAAAAUUACCCUUUUUAAACUCUCUCAUGUGCCACACGGGAUAUAUAGUUUUAUUUUCUAAAGUACUUAAAAUUUGAACCUUUGUUGUCUCAACAUUCACAACACCCAUGCCACAAGCUUUUAUUAUAAAGUAAUGCACAAAAAGCAUAUAUAACUCAAACCCACAACAAACAAUAUACCCAUAAAAUUAAAAUAAGAUAAAAUAAAAUAAUAAAU